GACGAAGGUGGCGAGCGUUGAUCGGAAUCACUGGGCUUAAAGCGCACGUAGGCGGCCCGUCAAGCGCUUUGUGAAAUCCCCCGGCUCAACCGGGGAAUUGCUUGGCGAACUGGCGGGCUUGAGGCAGGUAGAGGCAAGUGGAACUCUCGGUGGAGCGGUGGAAUGCGUAGAUAUCGAGAGGAACGCCAGCGGUGAAGAAGACUUGCUGGGCCUGUCCUGACGCUGAGGUGCGAAAGCUAGGGGAGCAAACAGG
This 253-nucleotide ribosomal RNA is filed under the name uncultured bacterium. Its description in RNAcentral is "partial 16S ribosomal RNA". It matches the Rfam family "Bacterial small subunit ribosomal RNA", at positions 524 to 776 of the family's 1533-position model. The record is from RNAcentral.